Molecule: ribosomal RNA, 288 nt
Filed under: uncultured bacterium
Lineage: Bacteria
Description: partial 16S ribosomal RNA
Rfam family: Bacterial small subunit ribosomal RNA
Source: RNAcentral
AUUGAACGCUGGCGGCAUGCUUUACACAUGCAAGUCGAACGGCAGCGCGGGCUUCGGCCUGGCGGCGAGUGGCGAACGGGUGAGUAAUAUAUCGGAACGUACCCAAGAGUGGGGGAUAACGUAGCGAAAGUUACGCUAAUACCGCAUACGAUCUAAGGAUGAAAGCAGGGGAUCGCAAGACCUUGUGCUCCUGGAGCGGCCGAUAUCUGAUUAGCUAGUUGGGUAGGGGUAAACGGCCCCAACCGAAGGACAACGAUCAGUAGCUGGUCUGAGAGGACGACCAGCCAC